Schizosaccharomyces pombe (fission yeast) is the source of this 119-nucleotide non-coding RNA. Lineage: Eukaryota; Fungi; Ascomycota; Schizosaccharomycetes; Schizosaccharomycetales; Schizosaccharomycetaceae. The record is from Rfam.
GUCUACGGCCAUACCUAGGCGAAAACACCAGUUCCCGUCUGAUCACUGCAGUUAAGCGUCUGAGGGCCUCGUUAGUACUAUGGUUGGAGACAACAUGGGAAUCCGGGGUGCUGUAGGCU